CCUACGGGAGGCAGCAGUGGGGGAUAUUGCACAAUGGGGGAAACCCUGAUGCAGCGACGCCGCGUGGGUGAAGAAGCGCCUCGGCGCGUAAAGCCCUGUCAGCAGGGAAGAAGAUGACGGUACCUGAACAAGAAGCCCCGGCUAACUACGUGCCAGCAGCCGCGGUAAUACGUAGGGGGCAAGCGUUAUCCGGAUUUACUGGGUGUAAAGGGGGCGCAGACGGCGAUGCAAGGCAGGAGUGAAAGCCCGGGGCCCAACCCCGGGAAUGCUCUUGGAACUGGAUGGCUGGAGUGCAGGAGGGGAAGGCGGAAUUCCUGGUGUAGGGGUGAAAUGCGUAGAUAUCAGGAGGAACACCGGUGGCGAAGGCGGCCAGCUGGAAUGUAACUGACGUUGAGGAGCGAAAGCGUGGGGAGCAAACAGGAUUAGAUACCCGAGUAGUC
RNAcentral lists this ribosomal RNA (440 nucleotides) under uncultured bacterium. RNAcentral describes it as "partial 16S ribosomal RNA". It matches the Rfam family "Bacterial small subunit ribosomal RNA", at positions 338 to 795 of the family's 1533-position model. The record is from RNAcentral.